GAUGAACGCUGGCGGCGUGCCUAAUACAUGCAAGUCGAGCGAAUGGAUUAGGAGCUUGCUCUUAUGAAGUUAGCGGCGGACGGGUGAGUAACACGUGGGUAACCUGCCCAUAAGACUGGGAUAACUCCGGGAAACCGGGGCUAAUACCGGAUAACAUUUUGAACCGCAUGGUUCGAAAUUGAAAGGCGGCUUCGGCUGUCACUUAUGGAUGGACACGCGUCGCAUUAGCUAGUUGGUGAGGUAACGGCUCACCAAGGCAACGAUGCGUAGCCGACCUGAGAGGGUGAUCGGCCACACUGGGACCGAGACACGGCCCAGACUCCUACGGGAGGCAGCAGUAGGGAAUCUUCCGCAAUGGACGAAAGUCUGACGGAGCAACGCCGCGUGAGUGAUGAAGGCUUUCGGGUCGUAAAAUUCUGUUGUUAGGGAAGAACAAGUGCUAGUUGAAUAAGCUGGCACCUUGACGGUACCUAACCAGAAAGCCACGGCUGACUACGUGCCAGCAGCCGCGGUAA
Molecule: ribosomal RNA, 515 nt
Filed under: uncultured bacterium
Lineage: Bacteria
Description: partial 16S ribosomal RNA
Rfam family: Bacterial small subunit ribosomal RNA
Source: RNAcentral